AGGGUUCGAUUCUGGCUCAGGAUGAACGCUAGCUACAGGCUUAACACAUGCAAGUCGAGGGGCAUCAGGGUGUAGCAAUACACCGCUGGCGACCGGCGCACGGGUGAGUAACGCGUAUCCAACCUGCCCACCACUUGGGGAUAACCUUGCGAAAGUAAGACUAAUACCCAAUGAUAUCUCUAGAAGACAUCUGAAAGAGAUUAAAGAUUUAUCGGUGAUGGAUGGGGAUGCGUCUGAUUAGCUUGUUGGCGGGGUAACGGCCCACCAAGGCAACGAUCAGUAGGGGUUCUGAGAGGAAGGUCCCCCACAUUGGAACUGAGACACGGUCCAA
RNAcentral lists this ribosomal RNA (331 nucleotides) under uncultured bacterium. RNAcentral describes it as "bacterial SSU rRNA". It matches the Rfam family "Bacterial small subunit ribosomal RNA", at positions 8 to 334 of the family's 1533-position model. The record is from RNAcentral.